RNAcentral lists this unclassified non-coding RNA (377 nucleotides) under uncultured Chlamydiales bacterium. RNAcentral describes it as "contains 16S-23S intergenic spacer region". Lineage: Bacteria; Pseudomonadati; Chlamydiota; Chlamydiia; Chlamydiales. The record is from RNAcentral.
UCCUAGUUAACCUAGGCAGUCUCGUUAUAGUUCCCACCUUAAAUGUUGGCAAAUAACGAUAAGGGUUGCGCUCGUUGCGGGACUUAACCCAACACCUCACGGCACGAGCUGACGACAGCCAUGCAGCACCUAUAAAAAGGUCCUUACGGAAAAUAACAUUUCUGUUAUCGCCCUCUUUAUUUCGAGCCUGGGUAAGGUUCUUCGCGUUGCAUCGAAUUAAACCACAUGCUCCACUGCUUGUGCGGGCCCCCGUCAAUUCUUUUGAGUUUCAGCCUUGCGACUGUACUCCUCAGGCGGUAUACUUAACGCGUUAGCUCCGAUACAACUAGGGUUGAGCCUAGUUACAUCAAGUAUACAUCGUUUACGGCAAGGACUAC